UGGGAUAUAACUUAGUGGUAAGGUACACACCUCAAAUGUGUGAGGGUCUAGGUUCCAUCCCCAGCACCACAA
Molecule: transfer RNA, 72 nt
Filed under: Erinaceus europaeus (western European hedgehog)
Lineage: Eukaryota; Metazoa; Chordata; Mammalia; Eulipotyphla; Erinaceidae
Rfam family: tRNA
About the family: Transfer RNA (tRNA) molecules are approximately 80 nucleotides in length. Their secondary structure includes four short double-helical elements and three loops (D, anti-codon, and T loops).
Source: Rfam by way of RNAcentral